AUUGAACGCUGGCGGCAGGCCUAACACAUGCAAGUCGAGCGGAUGACGGGAGCUUGCUCCUUGAUUCAGCGGCGGACGGGUGAGUAAUGCCUAGGAAUCUGCCUGGUAGUGGGGGACAACGUUUCGAAAGGAACGCUAAUACCGCAUACGUCCUACGGGAGAAAGCAGGGGACCUUCGGGCCUUGCGCUAUCAGAUGAGCCUAGGUCGGAUUAGCUAGUUGGUGGGGUAGUGGCUCACCAAGGCGACGAUCCGUAACUGGUCUGAGAGGAUGAUCAGUCAAACUGGAACUGAGACACGGUCCAAACUCCUACGGGAGGCAGCAGUGGGGAAUAUUGGAGAAUGGGCGAAAGCCUGAUCCAGCCAUGCCGCGUGUGUGAAGAAGGUCUUCGGAUUGUAAAGCACUUUAAGUUGGGAGGAAGGGCAGUAAGUUAAUACCUUGCUGUUUUGACGUUACCGACAGAAUAAGCACCGGCUAACUCUGUGCCAGCCGCCGCCGUAA
Molecule: ribosomal RNA, 500 nt
Filed under: uncultured bacterium
Lineage: Bacteria
Description: partial 16S ribosomal RNA
Rfam family: Bacterial small subunit ribosomal RNA
Source: RNAcentral